AUUGAACGCUGGCGGCAUGCUUUACACAUGCAAGUCGAACGGUAACAGGCCGCCAGGUGCUGACGAGUGGCGAACGGGUGCGUAAUGCAUCGGAACGUGCCCAGUCGUGGGGGAUAACUACUCGAAAGAGUAGCUAAUACCGCAUACGAUCUAUGGAUGAAAGCGGGGGACCGUAAUGCCUCGCGCGAUUGGAGCGGCCGAUGUCAGAUUAGGUAGUUGGUGGGGUAAAGGCUCACCAAGCCAACGAUCUGUAGCUGGUCUGAGAGUACGACCCGCCACACUGGGACUGAGACACGGCCCAGACUCCUACGGGAGGCAGCAGUGGGGAAUUUUGGACAAUGGGCGCAAGCCUGAUCCAGCAAUGCCGCGUGCAGGAAGAAGGCCUUCGGGUUGUAAACUGCUUUUGUACGGGACGAAACGGCUCUGGUUAAUACCCGGGGCUAAUGACGGUACCGUAAGAGUAAGCACCGGCUAACUACGUG
Molecule: ribosomal RNA, 482 nt
Filed under: uncultured bacterium
Lineage: Bacteria
Description: partial 16S ribosomal RNA
Rfam family: Bacterial small subunit ribosomal RNA
Source: RNAcentral